AGCCUGAACUGUCAGAAGGUGACAGCCGGCAGAAAGUUCCUGCCCUGGGGUCACAGCUGGAUUCCGGCAACUUGCUCCUUGAUUUACCAGUAAAACUAAUAAUAAUAGAUGGAUGUUCUGCUCUAUGUUUGUCCACAAAAGAAUUCACGACUCUGGACCUACAGUACUCUUCAGCAAAGCAGGAGGGGUGUAUUCCUGCCUGCAGACUUUGGGAAAUCACCACAGGGAGUCAGACUACUGAAGCACAGUCAAGCAGUAAAUCUACCAGCAACUUUUGCUGUCUUCAGAUACAAAUUCACGGGGAAGGUAGAGAGCAGUUCAACCAGAGUGUUCUGCAAUUCAAAGCUGGUUCCGCAGUCUCACAGCAUGAUUGCACUUACGGUGCAAUGGAGUCAUCUUGUAUUUAUCAGGAGUGAACUACUGCCAGCAGCUGAAAGGAGCCUGUGCCUUCAAGGAAGCCUGUUUUAG
This 468-nucleotide long non-coding RNA is filed under the name Coturnix japonica (Japanese quail). Its description in RNAcentral is "lncRNA (ENSCJPG00005009929.1)". Lineage: Eukaryota; Metazoa; Chordata; Aves; Galliformes; Phasianidae. The record is from RNAcentral.